RNAcentral lists this ribosomal RNA (316 nucleotides) under uncultured Acidobacteriota bacterium. RNAcentral's name for it is "bacterial SSU rRNA". It matches the Rfam family "Bacterial small subunit ribosomal RNA", at positions 20 to 350 of the family's 1533-position model. Lineage: Bacteria; Pseudomonadati; Acidobacteriota. The record is from RNAcentral.
UGGAUCAGAACGAACGCUGGCGGCGUGCUUAACACAUGCAAGUCGUACGAGAAAGUGGAGCAAUCCAUGAGUAAAGUGGCGACCGGGUGAGUAACACGUGACUACCUACCUUCUAGUGGGGGAUAACUCCGGGAAACCGGAGCUAAUACCGCAUAACAUCGCAAGAUCAAAGCAGCAAUGCGCUGGAAGAGGGGGUCGCGGCUGAUUAGCUAGUUGGUAGGGUAAUGGCCUACCAAGGCAAGGAUAGGUAUCCGGCUUGAGAGGGCGCACGGACACACUGGAACUGAUCUCACGGUCCAGGAUCCUACGGGAGGCA